Molecule: ribosomal RNA, 433 nt
Filed under: uncultured bacterium
Lineage: Bacteria
Description: partial 16S ribosomal RNA
Rfam family: Bacterial small subunit ribosomal RNA
Source: RNAcentral
AACGAACGCUGGCGGCAUGCCUAACACAUGCAAGUCGAACGAGACCUUCGGGUCUAGUGGCGCACGGGUGCGUAACGCGUGGGAACCUGCCCUUAGGUUCGGAAUAACUCCCCGAAAGGGGUGCUAACACCGGAUAAUGUCUUCGGACCAAAGAUUUAUCGCCCUUGGUUGGGCCCGCGUUGGAUUAGCUAGUUGGUAGGGUAAAAGCAUACUAAGGCGACGAUCCAUAGCUGGUCUGAGAGGAUGAUCAGCCACACUGGGACUAAGACACGGCCCAGACUCCUACGGGAGGCAGCAGUGGGGGAUGUUGGACAGUGGGCGAAAGCCUGAUCCAGCAAGGACGGGUGAGUGAUGAAGGCCUUAGGGUUGUAAAGCGCUUUUACCCGGGAUGAUAAUGACAGUACCGGGAGAAUAAGCUCCGGCUAACUACGUG